RNAcentral lists this ribosomal RNA (377 nucleotides) under uncultured eukaryote. RNAcentral's name for it is "partial 18S ribosomal RNA". It matches the Rfam family "Eukaryotic small subunit ribosomal RNA", at positions 592 to 976 of the family's 1831-position model. The record is from RNAcentral.
CAAUAGCGUAUAUUUAAGUUGCUGCAGUUAAAAAGCUCGUAGUUGGAUUUCGGGUGGGAAUGGCCGGUCCGCCGUUUCGGUGUGCACUUGCUACGCCCACCUUGCUGCCGGGGACGUGCUCUUGAGUUCACGCUCGGGACACGGAGUCGGCGAGGUUACUUUGAGUAAAUUAGAGUGUUCAAAGCGGGCCUACGCUCUGAAUACAUUAGCAUGGAAUAACACGAUAGGACUCUGGCCUAUCUUGUUGGUCUGUAGGACCGGAGUAAUGAUUAAGAGGGACAGUCGGGGGCACUCGUAUUUCAUUGUCAGAGGUGAAAUUCUUGGAUUUAUGAAAGACGAACUACUGCGAAAGCAUUUGCCAAGGAUGUUUUCAUUAA